AUGCUCACUUUCGUAGCACAUAUACUAGACCUAGAAUGAUAUGGAGAAGAUUAGCAUGACGCCUGUGCAAGAAUGACACACAAAUUGGUGAAGUAUUUCAUAUGUUU
This 107-nucleotide small nuclear RNA is filed under the name Neotoma lepida (desert woodrat). Lineage: Eukaryota; Metazoa; Chordata; Mammalia; Rodentia; Cricetidae. The record is from RNAcentral.